This 394-nucleotide ribosomal RNA is filed under the name uncultured bacterium. RNAcentral's name for it is "bacterial SSU rRNA". It matches the Rfam family "Bacterial small subunit ribosomal RNA", at positions 505 to 898 of the family's 1533-position model. The record is from RNAcentral.
GUGUCAGCAGCCGCGGUAAGACGAACCGUGCGAACGUUGUUCGGAUUCACUGGGCUUAAAGGGCGCGUAGGCGGCUUGUCAAGUCAGGGGUGAAAUCUUUCGGCUUAACCGGAAAACAGCCUCUGAUACUGGCGAGCUAGAGGGAGGUAGGGGCAUGUGGAACUCCAGGUGGAGCGGUGAAAUGCGUAGAUAUCUGGAGGAACGCCGGUGGCGAAAGCGACGUGCUGGACCUCUUCUGACGCUGAGGCGCGAAAGCUAGGGGAGCAAACGGGAUUAGAUACCCCGGUAGUCCUAGCCCUAAACGAUGGGUACUAGGUUGUGGACUUGACAUGGGUUCACAGCCGAAGCAAAAGUGUUAAGUACCCCGCCUGGGGAGUAUGGUCGCAAGGCUGAA